Long non-coding RNA from Bombus pascuorum, 446 nucleotides. RefSeq lists it as uncharacterized. The record is from RefSeq and is a predicted model, not a curated record. NCBI's taxonomy places the organism in Eukaryota, Metazoa, Arthropoda, Insecta, Hymenoptera, Apidae. The transcript has 2 exons.
UUUUAAUCUCUUUAACAAUGCCAUACGUUGCAUCAUUUGAAGACUUGCUAAAACAUACAUACGCAAAGAAACAUUUAACUUAAAUAUUAAGUGUUAAAAUAGAGAAAAAACAUCUUGAUCUUACAACAUAUUACACUGUAUAAUAAGGUUAUCAAAUUGUUACUUGAAAACAGAAUACCAAAUACCUUUGCUGCUAGAAUAAAGCUUCAUCCUGGUGUAAUCAUUGUAGGGCUGAUAAUAAAUGUCACGAAAUAUAUUUGAACGUGUUUUCUUCAUGGUUAAUCCUUCACUAUUACGGUCAAAAUUUAACGUCAAUUUACAGAGCACAUCGAUCCCGAAUUAAUGUAAAAUUUCUGAUAACUGUGGUAACUCGUGAACGAAGUCUGUCAAUCAAUGAAGAAAACGUUUUUUCAUAUCGAAUAGAUCAGAGAACGAGCAACGUGCUC